RNAcentral lists this unclassified non-coding RNA (306 nucleotides) under plant metagenome. RNAcentral describes it as "partial contains 5.8S ribosomal RNA, internal transcribed spacer 2, and large subunit ribosomal RNA". The stretch from base 1 to 105 matches the Rfam family "5.8S ribosomal RNA", at positions 50 to 154 of the family's 154-position model. The record is from RNAcentral.
GAAAUGCGAUAAGUAAUGUGAAUUGCAGAAUUGAGUGAAUCAUCGAAUCUUUGAACGCACAUUGCGCCCGCCAGUAUUCUGGCGGGCAUGCCUGUCCGAGCGUCAUUUCAACCAUCAAGCCCCCGGGCUUGUGUUGGGGACCUGCGGCUGCCCGCAGGCCCUGAAAACCAGUGGCGGGCUCGCUGUCACACCGAGCGUAGUAGCAAUCACCUCGCUCAGGGCGUGCUGCGGGUUCCGGCCGUUAAACAGCCUUACAAAACCCAAGGUUGACCUCGGAUCAGGUAGGAAGACCCGCUGAACUUAAGC